RNAcentral lists this ribosomal RNA (239 nucleotides) under uncultured bacterium. Its description in RNAcentral is "partial 16S ribosomal RNA". It matches the Rfam family "Bacterial small subunit ribosomal RNA", at positions 791 to 1035 of the family's 1533-position model. The record is from RNAcentral.
UAGUCCACGCUGUAAACGAUGAGUGCUAGGUAUUGGCAAGAGUUAGUGCCGCAGUUAACACAUUAAGCACUCCGCCUGGGGAGUACGUGCGCAAGCAUGAAACUCAAAGGAAUUGACGGGGGCCCGCACAAGCAGCGGAGCAUGUGGUUUAAUUCGAAGCAACGCGAAGAACCUUACCAGGGCUUGACAUAUAGAGGACAUAUUUAGAGAUAAAUAGACUUCUUCGGAAGCCUUUAUAC